Molecule: ribosomal RNA, 664 nt
Filed under: Bacillus subtilis
Lineage: Bacteria; Bacillati; Bacillota; Bacilli; Caryophanales; Bacillaceae
Description: bacterial SSU rRNA
Rfam family: Bacterial small subunit ribosomal RNA
Source: RNAcentral
AUGCAAGUCGAGCGGACAGAUGGGAGCUUGCUCCCUGAUGUUAGCGGCGGACGGGUGAGUAACACGUGGGUAACCUGCCUGUAAGACUGGGAUAACUCCGGGAAACCGGGGCUAAUACCGGAUGGUUGUCUGAACCGCAUGGUUCAGACAUAAAAGGUGGCUUCGGCUACCACUUACAGAUGGACCCGCGGCGCAUUAGCUAGUUGGUGAGGUAACGGCUCACCAAGGCGACGAUGCGUAGCCGACCUGAGAGGGUGAUCGGCCACACUGGGACUGAGACACGGCCCAGACUCCUACGGGAGGCAGCAGUAGGGAAUCUUCCGCAAUGGACGAAAGUCUGACGGAGCAACGCCGCGUGAGUGAUGAAGGUUUUCGGAUCGUAAAGCUCUGUUGUUAGGGAGAACAAGUGCCGUUCAAAUAGGGCGGCACCUUGACGGUACCUAACCAGAAAGCCACGGCUAACUACGUGCCAGCAGCCGCGGUAAUACGUAGGUGGCAAGCGUUGUCCGGAAUUAUUGGGCGUAAAGGGCUCGCAGGCGGUUUCUUAAGUCUNAUGUGAAAAGCCCCCCGGCUCAACCGGGGAGGGUCCAUUGGAAAACNUGGGGAACNUUGAGUUGCANAAAAAAGGAAAAGUGGAAAUUCCNNCCUGUANCCGGUUGAAAAA